Long non-coding RNA from Drosophila subpulchrella, 1500 nucleotides. RefSeq lists it as uncharacterized. The transcript has 5 exons. Lineage: Eukaryota; Metazoa; Arthropoda; Insecta; Diptera; Drosophilidae. The record is from RefSeq and is a predicted model, not a curated record.
UAAUUUGAAUGUACUUAUAAUGAUAUUUGUAUGUAAUGUAAUUUUUAAGAUUAGUCAUAAGAACUUAAUCCAUUAAUAUUUAUAUAAAACUAAGAUUUCCUUCCUCUUAUUAAUACCCAUCUAUGUACCAACUAUUUUUGAAAUCGGACCAGUCAUUAAAAGUAAUAUCCAAGUAAUAAUUAAACAUUUGGAAUUCAAUCGAGAAUGCACACCACAGUCAGCAAAUAAACUGUUUUCACCAAUACCCCACCAAGCCGCUAGGAGCGCUAUAGGCUACUUGGCGCUGUAGGCCAAGUGGCGCUAUAGAAGAAGAAGAUAGGUGGCGCUAUAGGCUUGGUGUGUUAGUGAAAAAAGCAGAGUUGCUUUAAGCAUAUCUCCAUCCCGCUCGCUUUAAAAAUAACCUAGAAAAUUAUGGUUUCGUUAGCCGAAAGUGGCAUGCCCAAAUGUUUAGUGCCAAAAAGGGUUAUAUAUAGUUCUAAAAGGUAAAUAUACAGUUAUACAAGUAAGACAAAUUUUUGAAAUGUAUGCCCUAAUAUUUUUUCAGCAGCAUUGGCCAAAAAUUCUGAGGACCCGGACAGAUGUUUGAAAAAGGCGAUGUCCAAUGACAAAAGUAAGCUAACAAAACAAAUACAAGGCUUACUAACAAUAAUUGCCAAGCACGUGGUCGCCCUUAAGAAUUAUGCACACAGCAAAUAAUAAGGGCGCGAGGGGCUCAAGGAUUAAAAUAAAAUUAAGUACAGUUAUCAGUACUUCACAUAUUAUUGGCUUGUUGCCCAGAACUUUCGUACAUACUAAGCCAUUGGAUUUGAAGUUUCUAUUAUUUUUUCCAAAUUUGAUGGACUUUGAGUUCUCCUUCUUGACAGUGAAAAUUGAAACAUUCAGAACGAAAACGUUAACAAUGAUGACGGCGAACUUUUGAAAAUGGAAGGCGCCAAAGUAAUAGUCGAUAAUACGCAAACCGCCGCUGGCAAGCUGAGGUGGACUAUGCAGAUGGAGCUUCUGCUGAUCGAUAAUUGGCAGGAGAACAUCGAGCAGUUGCGGGGAGCUCGGAAAAAUGUCCACGUGUACAUGGCCCAGUUCUUAAUGGAAGCUGGUAGUGAUGUGUCCUACAAAGGAGUUCCGGACAAAAAUUGAAAACCUGGCCAAAAAGUAUAGGCAGAAAACAAAUAAAAUGCGGACAAGCGGUGGGGCUUCAUCCGUGUGGCGAGUAGGAAUACUUCGUGGAGGUCUUAGAUGUGGACCCCGAUGACAUGGAAGCCUCCAUCUGCAGUGGAAGUCAACGCUCAGCAGCACUGCGCCCCCUGCAAAGCAAGGAAAGGUGGACCACAAGGCCGAGCUUUUGGAGAUAGCUCAAGAAAGGCUAGAGGAGCAGCGAGCGCAAACCGAGAUCAUGUCAAGGACGGCAGAAAGCCAAACUCAAAUCCAAUCUGAUUUGUUUAAACUGUUGAGGAAAUCAAAAAAUUUGAACAAUUUAGAAUAAAUAGGUUAAUUUAUAAAUAA